This 242-nucleotide ribosomal RNA is filed under the name uncultured bacterium. RNAcentral describes it as "partial 16S ribosomal RNA". It matches the Rfam family "Bacterial small subunit ribosomal RNA", at positions 109 to 334 of the family's 1533-position model. The record is from RNAcentral.
AGUAACACGUAAACAACCUGCCUUCAGGAUGGGGACAACAGACGGAAACGACUGCUAAUACCGAAUAAGUUCCAAGGGCCGCAUGGCCCAUGGAAGAAAAGGUGGCCUCUACCUGUAAGCUAUCGCCUGAAGAGGGGUUUGCGUCUGAUUAGCUGGUUGGAGGGGUAACGGCCCACCAAGGCGACGAUCAGUAGCCGGUCUGAGAGGUUGAACGGCCACAUUGGGACUGAGACACGGCCCAG